RNAcentral lists this transfer RNA (67 nucleotides) under Ampittia dioscorides. RNAcentral's name for it is "tRNA-Asp". The record is from RNAcentral. Lineage: Eukaryota; Metazoa; Arthropoda; Insecta; Lepidoptera; Hesperiidae. RNAcentral also lists the same sequence under 1 other name.
AAAGAAUUAGUUAAACAAUAACAUAAAUAUGUCAAAUUUAAAUUAAUAAUUUAAUUAUUAUUCUUUU